GACGAACGCUGGCGGCGUGCUUAACACAUGCAAGUCGAACGGAAAGGCCCUGCUUUUGUGGGGUGCUCGAGUUGCGAACGUGUGAGUAACACGUGAUUAACCUGCCCUUGACUUUGUGAUAACUUCAGGAAACUUUGGCUAAUACCGGAUAGGAUCUCCUGCUGCAUGGUGGGGGUUGGACAGUUUCGGCGGUUGGGGAUGGACUCGCGGCUUAUCAGCUUGUUGGUGGGGUAGUGGCUUACCAAGGCUUUGACGGGUAGCCGGCCUGAGAGGGUGACCGGCCACAUUGGGACUGAGAUACGGCCCAGACUCCUACGGGAGGCAGCAGUGGGGAAUAUUGCACAAUGGGCGGAAGCCUGAUGCAGCAAAGCCGCGUGCGGGAUGACGGCCUUCGGGUUGUAAACCGCUUUCGCCUGUGACGAAGCGUGAGUGACGGUAAUGGGUAAAGAAGCACCGGCUAACUACGUG
RNAcentral lists this ribosomal RNA (468 nucleotides) under uncultured bacterium. Its description in RNAcentral is "partial 16S ribosomal RNA". It matches the Rfam family "Bacterial small subunit ribosomal RNA", at positions 28 to 507 of the family's 1533-position model. The record is from RNAcentral.